AACGAACGCUGGCGGCAUGCCUAACACAUGCAAGUCGAACGAAGGCUUCGGCCUUAGUGGCGCACGGGUGCGUAACGCGUGGGAAUCUGCCCUUUGGUUCGGAAUAACAGCUGGAAACGGCUGCUAAUACCGGAUGAUGACGAAAGUCCAAAGAUUUAUCGCCAGAGGAUGAGCCCGCGUUGGAUUAGGUAGUUGGUGGGGUAAAGGCCUACCAAGCCGACGAUCCAUAGCUGGUCUGAGAGGAUGAUCAGCCACACUGGGACUGAGACACGGCCCAGACUCCUACGGGAGGCAGCAGUGGGGAAUAUUGGACAAUGGGCGCAAGCCUGAUCCAGCAAUGCCGCGUAAGUGAUGAAGGCCCUAGGGUUGUAAAGCUCUUUUACCCGGGAAGAUAAUGACUGUACCGGGAGAAUAAGCCCCGGCUAACUCCGUG
This 433-nucleotide ribosomal RNA is filed under the name uncultured bacterium. RNAcentral's name for it is "partial 16S ribosomal RNA". It matches the Rfam family "Bacterial small subunit ribosomal RNA", at positions 29 to 507 of the family's 1533-position model. The record is from RNAcentral.